This 405-nucleotide ribosomal RNA is filed under the name bacterium. Its description in RNAcentral is "bacterial SSU rRNA". It matches the Rfam family "Bacterial small subunit ribosomal RNA", at positions 354 to 776 of the family's 1533-position model. The record is from RNAcentral.
GUCGGGAAUAUUGGUCAAUGGGGGAAACCCUGAACCAGCAAUGCCGCGUGAGUGACGAAGGUCUUCGGAUUGUAAAGCUCUGUCCUUGGGGAAGAUAAUGACGGUACCCAAGAAGAAAGCCACGGCUAACUACGUGCCAGCAGCCGCGGUAAUACGUAGGUGGCAAGCGUUGUCCGGAAUUAUUGGGCGUAAAGGGCGAGUAGGCGGCCGAUUAUGUCAGAUGUGAAAGGCUAGGGCUUAACCCUAACAUGGCAUUUGAAACUGAUUGGCUUGAGUGUAGGAGAGGGAAGCGGAAUUCCUAGUGUAGCGGUGAAAUGCGUAGAUACUAGGAGGAACACCAGUGGCGAAGGCGGCUUCCUGGCCUACAACUGACGCUGAUGCGCGAAAGCGUGGGGAGCAAACAGG